AUACGUAGGGGACAAGCGUUGUCCGGAAUCACUGGGCGUAAAGGGCGCGCAGGCGGUGAUUUAAGCAGGAUGUGAAAGGCUACGGCUCAACCGUAGACAUGCACCCUGAACUGGGUCACUUGAGUAUUGGAGAGGCAGGCAGAAUUCCUGGUGUAGCGAUGAAAUGCGUAGAUAUCAGGAGGAAUACCGGAGGCGAAGGCGGCCUGCUGGACAAAUACUGACGCUGAGGCGCGAAAGCGUGGGGAGC
This 247-nucleotide ribosomal RNA is filed under the name uncultured bacterium. RNAcentral describes it as "partial 16S ribosomal RNA". It matches the Rfam family "Bacterial small subunit ribosomal RNA", at positions 523 to 769 of the family's 1533-position model. The record is from RNAcentral.